RNAcentral lists this long non-coding RNA (976 nucleotides) under Homo sapiens (human). RNAcentral describes it as "HSALNT0275446". The record is from RNAcentral. Lineage: Eukaryota; Metazoa; Chordata; Mammalia; Primates; Hominidae.
UUUUGCUGUGUGCAGAUGGAGGCAGUGGCUGGAGUGAAUGAACGGCAACACUUGCUGGCAACCGGCAGAAGCUGAGAGACAGGGAACAGGCUCUCCUCCAGAGCCUCCAGGAGCCAGGCCUUUGGACACCUUGAAUGUGGGCUUCUGGGAGACCAUGCGUUUCUGUUAUAAGCAGCCCAGUCUCUGGCAGUUUUUACGGCUGCCCCGGAACACUCAUCUAUACCUGUCUGACAAGGUCAAGCUCCAAGGAAGGGAUUCUCUACAUAUCUACAUUGUUUGCAGAUUUUACAAUAAUCAUUUAUUCUUGCAUGGCUGAUCAUUGUUAACCAAUACAAAUAAAAUAAUAAAGAAAUGACCCACAUUUUAUGUUGGGAGUUUGAUCUGCCAUUUAUCAAGUAUGGAAUCUUGAACAAGGGGUUAAACAUCUGAAUGUCUCCAUCACUUCAUCUCUAAAGUGGGGGUGCUCACACCCACUGGGCUCCCCCACCCAGGUUGGUGCCGGACUCUCCCUGGGCCCCCCUGUUCUCUCACCAGCCACAUCCAUUCUCCCCCCAGAGGCGCUAGUGACUGUGCGUGGCUUUCCAUUCCCACCAUGUUUGUCUCUAACCCCAGUGGCAGAUCAGUGUAAGAACACAGCUGAGUGCUCCUCGCCUCCUUGCCCCUUCAAGGGCUCCUCACCACCCACCAGAUCAGGUGCAAACUUCCAAGCCUUACUGGAUCCCCUUCCACAUUCUGAGCUCCGCCUGCCUUCCCAUCGCUAUCCUUCCCCACCUGCCUCCCUGGUAGAGAAAAGCAGAGUGUGUGAUGCUGUCUGAAUGCUGAGCACGGCCUUUUGCAGCCAGUCCACUGUGUAUGCUGCCCCUAUCGGAGACCUCCACCUUAACCCUUUCCAGCCUGGAGGCUCCUCCCAGGGCCCCACAACAGAAGUGACUUCCCUUGCCUUUGAAUUUCUAUAGCACAAGCCCUACUGCCCCCC